This 212-nucleotide unclassified non-coding RNA is filed under the name plant metagenome. RNAcentral describes it as "partial contains small subunit ribosomal RNA, internal transcribed spacer 1, and 5.8S ribosomal RNA". The record is from RNAcentral.
UUUCCGUAGGUGAACCUGCGGAAGGAUCAUUAAAGAUGAAGCAGGGAAACCGGUCCUUCUAACCCUUGACUAUCUUAAUUUGUUGCUUUGGUGGGCCGAGCAAGCACCGGCUUCGGCUGGUGCGGACCAGCCAGAGGACACAAAUUCGUAUCAAAUGUCGUCUGAGUACUAAAAACUAGUUAAAACUGUCAACAACGGAUCUCUUGGUUCUG